GCCUGGGUGGCUCAGUCGGUUAAGCAUCUGACUUCGGCUCAGGUCAUGACCUCAUGGUCUGUGGGUUCGAGCCCCGCGUCAGACU
Molecule: transfer RNA, 85 nt
Filed under: Felis catus (domestic cat)
Lineage: Eukaryota; Metazoa; Chordata; Mammalia; Carnivora; Felidae
Rfam family: tRNA
About the family: Transfer RNA (tRNA) molecules are approximately 80 nucleotides in length. Their secondary structure includes four short double-helical elements and three loops (D, anti-codon, and T loops).
Source: Rfam by way of RNAcentral